CCUACGGGAGGCAGCAGUGGGGAAUAUUGGGCAAUGGGCGCAAGCCUGACCCAGCAACGCCGCGUGAAGGAAGAAGGCUUUCGGGUUGUAAACUUCUUUUCUCAGGGACGAAGCAAGUGACGGUACCUGAGGAAUGAGCCACGGCUAACUACGUGCCAGCAGCCGCGGUAAUACGUAGGUGGCAAGCGUUAUCCGGAUUUACUGGGUGUAAAGGGCGUGUAGGCGGGAAAGCAAGUCAGAUGUGAAAACCAUGGGCUCAACCUGUGGCCUGCAUUUGAAACUGUUUUUCUUGAGUACUGGAGAGGCAGACGGAAUGCCUAGUGUAGCGGUGAAAUGCGUAGAGAUUAGGAGGAACACCAGUGGCGAAGGCGGUCUGCUGGACAGCAACUGACGCUGAGGCGCGAAAGCGUGGGGAGCAAACAGGAUUAGAUACCCGAGUAGUC
This 443-nucleotide ribosomal RNA is filed under the name uncultured bacterium. RNAcentral describes it as "partial 16S ribosomal RNA". It matches the Rfam family "Bacterial small subunit ribosomal RNA", at positions 338 to 795 of the family's 1533-position model. The record is from RNAcentral.